This 253-nucleotide ribosomal RNA is filed under the name uncultured bacterium. RNAcentral's name for it is "partial 16S ribosomal RNA". It matches the Rfam family "Bacterial small subunit ribosomal RNA", at positions 524 to 776 of the family's 1533-position model. The record is from RNAcentral.
UACGAAGGGUGCAAGCGUUACUCGGAAUUACUGGGCGUAAAGCGUGCGCAGGCGGUUUGUUAAGUCUGUCGUGAAAGCCCCGGGCUCAACCUGGGAAUGGCGAUGGAUACUGGCGAGCUAGAGUACGGUAGAGGAGAGUGGAAUUCCCGGUGUAGCAGUGAAAUGCGUAGAUAUCGGGAGGAACAUCUGUUGCGAAGGCGACACCCUGGACCAGCACUGACACUGAGGCACGAAAGCGUGGGGAGCAAACAGG